UCCUAAGGUGUGAUUAGCGAUUGGGGUGAAGUCGUAACAAGGUAUCCGUACCGGAAGGUGCGGAUGGAUCACCUCCUUUCUAAGGAGCA
This 89-nucleotide ribosomal RNA is filed under the name Psychrilyobacter sp. S5. RNAcentral's name for it is "partial 16S ribosomal RNA". The stretch from base 1 to 79 matches the Rfam family "Bacterial small subunit ribosomal RNA", at positions 1455 to 1533 of the family's 1533-position model. RNAcentral also lists the same sequence under 1 other name. The record is from RNAcentral. Lineage: Bacteria; Fusobacteriati; Fusobacteriota; Fusobacteriia; Fusobacteriales; Fusobacteriaceae.